Tuber melanosporum (Perigord truffle) is the source of this 100-nucleotide transfer RNA. It matches the Rfam family "tRNA". From Rfam's summary of the family: Transfer RNA (tRNA) molecules are approximately 80 nucleotides in length. Their secondary structure includes four short double-helical elements and three loops (D, anti-codon, and T loops). Further hydrogen bonds mediate the characteristic L-shaped molecular structure. tRNAs have two regions of fundamental functional importance: the anti-codon, which is responsible for specific mRNA codon recognition, and the 3' end, to which the tRNAs corresponding amino acid is attached (by aminoacyl-tRNA synthetases). tRNAs cope with the degeneracy of the genetic code in two manners: having more than one tRNA (with a specific anti-codon) for a particular amino acid; and 'wobble' base-pairing, i.e. permitting non-standard base-pairing at the 3rd anti-codon position. Lineage: Eukaryota; Fungi; Ascomycota; Pezizomycetes; Pezizales; Tuberaceae. The record is from Rfam.
GUUAAGAUGGUGGAGUGGUUAACAAGUUCGCCUGCUAAACUCCGAAGGAGCUAAUCGGCGGAUGCCUUCGGGCGCGCAGGUUCGAAUCCUGUUCUUGACC